RNAcentral lists this non-coding RNA (28 nucleotides) under Cricetulus griseus (Chinese hamster). The record is from RNAcentral. Lineage: Eukaryota; Metazoa; Chordata; Mammalia; Rodentia; Cricetidae.
ACAGGAAUCGUCCAAGGAUUGAAGGGAG